Molecule: ribosomal RNA, 496 nt
Filed under: uncultured bacterium
Lineage: Bacteria
Description: partial 16S ribosomal RNA
Rfam family: Bacterial small subunit ribosomal RNA
Source: RNAcentral
AUGAACGCUGGCGGCGUGCCUAAUACAUGCCAGUCGAGCGAACGGACGAGAAGCUUGCUUCUCUGAUGUUAGCGGCGGACGGGUGAGUAACACGUGGAUAACCUACCUAUAAGACUGGGAUAACUUCGGGAAACCGGAGCUAAUACCGGAUAAUAUUUUGAACCGCAUGGUUCAAAAGUGAAAGACGGUCUUGCUGUCACUUAUAGAUGGAUCCGCGCUGCAUUAGCUAGUUGGUAAGGUAACGGCUUACCAAGGCAACGAUGCAUAGCCGACCUGAGAGGGUGAUCGGCCACACUGGAACUGAGACACGGUCCAGACUCCUACGGGAGGCAGCAGUAGGGAAUCUUCCGCUAUGGGCGAAAGCCUGACGGAGCAACGCCGCGUGAGUGAUGAAGGUCUUCGGAUCGUAAAACUCUGUUAUUAGGGAAGAACAUAUGUGUAAGUAACUGUGCACAUCUUGACGGUACCUAAUCAGAAAGCCACGGCUAACUACGUG